GGGUCCGCGUCUCAUUAGCUAGUUGGUAGGGUAAUGGCCUACCAAGGCAACGAUGAGUAGCUGGUCUGAGAGGAUGAUCAGCCACACUGGAACUGAAACACGGUCCAGACUCCUACGGGAGGCAGCAGUGGGGAAUAUUGCGCAAUGGGCGAAAGCCUGACGCAGCAACGCCGUGUGAGGGAUGAAGGCUUUCGGGUCGUAAACCUCUGUCGGAAGGGAAGAACGGGCAUUGGUCUAAUAGGCCUUUGUUUUGACGGUACCUUUAGAGGAAGCACCGGCUAACUCCGUGCCAGCAGCCGCGGUAAUACGGAGGGUGCAAGCGUUAUUCGGAAUUACUGGGCGUAAAGCGCACGUAGGCGGCUUCGUAAGUCAGGGGUGAAAUCCCACGGCUCAACCGUGGAACUGCCUUUGAAACUGCAAAGCUUGAAUCCUGGAGAGGGUGGCGGAAUUCCUGGUGUAGGAGUGAAAUCCGUAGAUAUCAGGAGGAACACCGGUGGCGAAGGCGGCCACCUGGACAGGUAUUGACGCUGAGGUGCGAAAGUGUGGGGAGCAAACAGGAUUAGAUACCCUGGUAGUCCACACCGUAAACGAUGAACACUAGGUGCCGGGG
This 610-nucleotide ribosomal RNA is filed under the name uncultured delta proteobacterium. Its description in RNAcentral is "bacterial SSU rRNA". It matches the Rfam family "Bacterial small subunit ribosomal RNA", at positions 227 to 828 of the family's 1533-position model. The record is from RNAcentral. Lineage: Bacteria; Deltaproteobacteria.